UACGAAGGGGGCUAGCGUUGCUCGGAAUUACUGGGCGUAAAGGGCGCGUAGGCGGCUCGCCAAGUCAGGGGUGAAAUCUUUCGGCUCAACCGGAAAAGCGCUUCUGAUACUGGCGGGCUGGAGGGAGGUAGGGGCGACUGGAACUUCCGGUGGAGCGGUGAAAUGCGUAGAUAUCGGAAGGAACGCCGGUGGCGAAAGCGAGUCGCUGGACCUCUUCUGACGCUGAGGCGCGAAAGCCAGGGGAGCAAACGGG
RNAcentral lists this ribosomal RNA (253 nucleotides) under uncultured bacterium. RNAcentral describes it as "partial 16S ribosomal RNA". It matches the Rfam family "Bacterial small subunit ribosomal RNA", at positions 524 to 776 of the family's 1533-position model. The record is from RNAcentral.